RNAcentral lists this ribosomal RNA (425 nucleotides) under uncultured bacterium. RNAcentral's name for it is "bacterial SSU rRNA". It matches the Rfam family "Bacterial small subunit ribosomal RNA", at positions 29 to 436 of the family's 1533-position model. The record is from RNAcentral.
AUGAACGCUGGCGGCGUGCUUAACACAUGCAAGUCGAGCGAAGCACUAAAGCGGAUUUCUUCGGAUUGAAGGUUUAGUGACUGAGCGGCGGACGGGUGAGUAACGUGUGGGUAACCUGCCUCAUACAGGGGGAUAACAGUUGGAAACGGCUGCUAAUACCGCAUAAGCGCACAGUACCGCAUGGUACGGUGUGAAAAACUCCGGUGGUAUGAGAUGGACCCGCGUCUGAUUAGGUAGUUGGUGGGGUAACGGCCUACCAAGCCGACGAUCAGUAGCCGACCUGAGAGGGUGACCGGCCACAUUGGGACUGAGACACGGCCCAAACUCCUACGGGAGGCAGCAGUGGGGAAUAUUGCACAAUGGGGGAAACCCUGAUGCAGCGACGCCGCGUGAGCGAAGAAGUAUUUCGGUAUGUAAAGCUCUAU